UUGCUCCCGGAUGUUAGCGGCGGACGGGUGAGUAACACGUGGGUAACCUGCCUGUAAGACUGGGAUAACUCCGGGAAACCGGAGCUAAUACCGGAUAGUUCCUUGAACCGCAUGGUUCAAGGAUGAAAGACGGUUUCGGCUGUCACUUACAGAUGGACCCGCGGCGCAUUAGCUAGUUGGUGAGGUAACGGCUCACCAAGGCGACGAUGCGUAGCCGACCUGAGAGGGUGAUCGGCCACACUGGGACUGAGACACGGCCCAGACUCCUACGGGAGGCAGCAGUAGGGAAUCUUCCGCAAUGGACGAAAGUCUGACGGAGCAACGCCGCGUGAGUGAUGAAGGUUUUCGGAUCGUAAAGCUCUGUUGUUAGGGAAGAACAAGUGCAAGAGUAACUGCUUGCACCUUGACGGUACCUAACCAGAAAGCCACGGCUAACUACGUGCCAGCAGCCGCGGUAAUACGUAGGUGGCAAGCGUUGUCCGGAAUUAUUGGGCGUAAAGGGCUCGCAGGCGGUUUCUUAAGUCUGAUGUGAAAGCCCCCGGCUCAACCGGGGAGGGUCAUUGGAAACUGGGAAACUUGAGUGCAGAAGAGGAGAGUGGAAUUCCACGUGUAGCGGUGAA
RNAcentral lists this ribosomal RNA (620 nucleotides) under Bacillus altitudinis. RNAcentral describes it as "bacterial SSU rRNA". It matches the Rfam family "Bacterial small subunit ribosomal RNA", at positions 79 to 685 of the family's 1533-position model. Lineage: Bacteria; Bacillati; Bacillota; Bacilli; Caryophanales; Bacillaceae. The record is from RNAcentral.